AUGCAUGAAUUCCAUUGGACUCGGAUAAGAAAUGGAACAAUGAAUAUGUGCACAUGCAUAAAUUCCAUCGGACUCAGAUCAGUCAAAUUCAGUAGCGACAUUAUUCUCCAAGGUCAACGGUUACAUCACCUAAGAAAUCCUAAAAAGGAAGAGGUGAGACCAUGGGAGGCAACAGAGGUCAGUAGUCAUAACCUGGACUUGACGGCGGUUGUGGCAACGAUACUGUGCAUGUCAGUCCUACUUGCGGCAGCUCGAGCCCAAGGCAUCCAAGAAGAAACCAUGCAUGUAUGGAAUGAACGUCUGCACAGACAGAUUGUGUAUAAAUGA
RNAcentral lists this ribosomal RNA (327 nucleotides) under Triticum aestivum (bread wheat). Its description in RNAcentral is "partial small subunit ribosomal RNA". Lineage: Eukaryota; Viridiplantae; Streptophyta; Magnoliopsida; Poales; Poaceae. The record is from RNAcentral.